UAAAAGGAUAGCCAUACAUGUAGAAAAAUUCAUUGGAAAAGUGUAGAUGACUUAGUUCUUAGGAACAUCUUAGUCUUAAUUCUUUCAUGAAAUUGGAUAACGUCAUUACCUCGCAUGAUUACUGAGCAUUUCUGACACUCGUAUUACCGACGUCACACCUUCUUACACAGACAUGUAUAAAUACAUGCUGAUUGCUGAUGGUGUAGACCUCGUGUGAUACCAUAAUUGAAAGAACACCUGUACUUGCUGACUCAGAGAUAGAACACAAAAGUGUGAAAAUGGACACAAAGAAUAUCAAGUUUGGAUUAACAAUCGUAAUACUUCUGCUCGUUUUGCGUGAAAUUGAUAACAAGUCUUUAAAGAUACCUGGUAGUCAACCAAUAAAAGUCAGAGAAACAAAAACAAUUAAACUUUGUGGAACCAUUAAAACAUUUAGAUAUGAAAUUUAUCGCUGUAAAGGAACAUGUACACUAUCCAGUGGUUCUUAUGGUUGCUGGGAACGAAAAGAUGGAAAAGUUCACAGACUUAAGUUUCGAGGUUGUAAUGAAAACAUGGUAUAAUUGAAGACAUAACAUGCACAUGUACAACAUGUAAGAAGGUAUGAAUAGUCUGUUUCAAGAAAAGUUGAUGGCGAAUUUCUUCCUUAUCAUCAAACAAGUUUUUGUGGAACAGAAGAAUGCGUCAGGAAUGCCGAAACAUUACCUUUCAAAAACAUUUCCUUUGUUAAUGACUUUUAACCUCGACACCACAAUGAAACAUUGUUUGAAAUUGAAAAUUGAUUUACAAUCCACUCGACCAUAGUGAAUUGGAAAGAACAAAAGUACACUGAUUUAAACUUAAUGUAGAAAUGAAAUGCUUUCAUAAACAAUGGCCUUAUUUUUAAGUCACGCAGCCUUCCGACGAAUGACUCUUAUUUAACUUAUAAAAGAAAUCGAGUACAACAAAAUGUCUGAACAAAAAUAACAUGACGUAUAGAAAUUAACUUAUAGUAAUUAUUUAUUGUAGUUAAGUUAUGAAAUAUUUAAGUCAGAAUAGUGACGUGUAUUUUUUAGAACGUGAGACUAAAUAUAAAGUUCAAGAUCAUUCUGAUAA
This is a long non-coding RNA of Xenia sp. Carnegie-2017, 1092 nucleotides long. RefSeq lists it as uncharacterized. The transcript has 2 exons. The record is from RefSeq and is a predicted model, not a curated record. Lineage: Eukaryota; Metazoa; Cnidaria; Anthozoa; Malacalcyonacea; Xeniidae.